GCUAUUACUUUCAUCUAAGAUCUUGCAUGUGAAGAUGAGGUAACAUGGUGUAGCCAAGGAUGACUUGCCGGAAAAACUCUCCAUAAAUUUUCUGGUGAUUCAUCUUCGGUUUUUAAUCAGAAUUUCGGCAAGUUGUCCUUGGCUACAUUUCUACUUCAUCAUCCUCACAUGCUAGAUCUAUGAUGAUUACUUAAUUGC
Molecule: small RNA, 198 nt
Filed under: Manihot esculenta (cassava)
Lineage: Eukaryota; Viridiplantae; Streptophyta; Magnoliopsida; Malpighiales; Euphorbiaceae
Source: RNAcentral